This 424-nucleotide ribosomal RNA is filed under the name uncultured bacterium. RNAcentral's name for it is "bacterial SSU rRNA". It matches the Rfam family "Bacterial small subunit ribosomal RNA", at positions 355 to 776 of the family's 1533-position model. The record is from RNAcentral. RNAcentral also lists the same sequence under 1 other name.
UAGGGAAUAUUGGGCAAUGGAUGCAAGUCUGACCCAGCCAUGCCGCGUGGAGGAAGAAGGUCCUCUGGAUUGUAAACUCCUUUUGUCGGGGAAGAAUAGGCAGGAUGCGUCCUGUUGUGACGGUACCCGAUGAAUAAGCCACGGCUAACUACGUGCCAGCAGCCGCGGUAAUACGUAGGUGGCAAGCGUUGUCCGGAUUUAUUGGGUUUAAAGGGUGCGUAGGUGGUUUAUUAAGUCAGUGGUGAAAGCUGGUUGCUCAACAAUCAAGUUGCCAUUGAUACUGAUAGACUUGAGAGAAGUGGAGGUUCAUGGAAUGGAUGGUGUAGCGGUGAAAUGCAUAGAUAUCAUCCAGAACGUCGAUUGCGAAGGCAGUGGGCUGUACUUUUUCUGACACUGAGGCACGAAAGCGUGGGGAUCAAACAGG